GAGAGACAGGCUUGUAGAAAAGUACUGAGUAUGUUAACAGUGUCAAGUAGAGAACAGAGAACCCUUCCCCCUAAAUUUCCUGACUGCAUAGGUGUCGGAGUUCCCUGAAGUUCUACUGAAGUCAGUAAAGCAAAGCUCAUCCUACUCCACAUUAAGAAGGGAACUAGGUAGAGGUUGUCUCAACAGGUUGUCUCAACAGCUCACAGGGCCUGUUUGUGAACAUUGUAUGCAGUCUCUUAACUACUUCGGAGACAGAGCUUACCCAGAGUGGGUUCAUCAUGCUGGGAGGAUAACAUUUUGUGUAUUUCCUUCAGAGCUACACUAUGUGCUUUUUGGCUUUCAGAUUGUGAAUGAAACUCUCUGCUUUGGAUCAUCUGAUGUUUUACCUCCAUUACAGGCAAGUGCAGUGCAGAACUACUGCUCCUUCUUUGUUGUUUCACCUUUGAAAUAAAACUUACAGCAAGUCUGCAAAUAUAUUGUCUCUCUGUGCCUGAUAAAUCAGGUACUGCUCCAAGGAGAGGAAUUGCUGAUAUGCUACAAUUGGGAAAAUGGGAUCUAGAAGGUAAAUUUCCAAAGGUAAGCUAAUUCUUAGGAGCACUACCUUUAGCACACGAUUUAAGUUAUCCAAGGCAGUGUCAAUCUUAUGACAGCACAUUCAGAUACAAAUUUUCCUGGAAAACCUUUUCCACCAUGCACUUAGAUUCAUCAACCCAACUCUUCAAGCCACUAGAACUUAAGAAGUCUGAUUUUCUUAUACAUUCAAUUAUACAUUCUAAAAUGCAAUGGUAUGUGAGGUUAUUUUGUUUCUCUACCUAAACUUUCCACAUUUCAGAUAAAAUCAAGUAUAAU
This 849-nucleotide long non-coding RNA is filed under the name Anser brachyrhynchus (Pink-footed goose). Its description in RNAcentral is "lncRNA (ENSABRG00000014699.1)". The record is from RNAcentral. Lineage: Eukaryota; Metazoa; Chordata; Aves; Anseriformes; Anatidae.